RNAcentral lists this ribosomal RNA (245 nucleotides) under uncultured Fibrobacter sp. RNAcentral's name for it is "partial 16S ribosomal RNA". It matches the Rfam family "Bacterial small subunit ribosomal RNA", at positions 524 to 767 of the family's 1533-position model. The record is from RNAcentral. Lineage: Bacteria; Pseudomonadati; Fibrobacterota; Fibrobacteria; Fibrobacterales; Fibrobacteraceae.
UACGAGGGGUGCAAGCGUUGUUCGGAAUUACUGGGCGUAAAGGGAGCGUAGGCGGAAGAGCAAGCGGACUGUACAAUCCCGGGGCCCAACCCCGGUCCUGCAGUCCGGACUGCUUUUCUUGGAUAGUUCAGGGGCAGGCGGAAUUCCUGGUGUAGCGGUGGAAUGCGUAGAGAUCAGGAAGAACACCGAUGGCGAAGGCAGCCUGCUGGGGACUUUAUCGACGCUGAGGCUCGAAAGUGCGGGUA